AUAGUAGUGUCAGAGUUUGAUCCUGGCUCAGGAUGAACGCUAGCUAUAGGCUUAACACAUGCAAGUCGAGGGGCAGCAUGCGGUUUGCUUGCAAACCGUGAUGGCGACCGGCGCACGGGUGAGUAACACGUAUCCAACCUUCCGGUUACUCGGGGAUAGGCUUUCGAAAGAAAGAUUAAUACCCGAUGUUGCGUAUCUUUCUCCUGAAAGAUACGCCAAAGGAUUCCGGUAACCGAUGGGGAUGCGUUCCAUUAGGCAGUUGGCGGGGUAACGGCCCACCAAACCUUCGAUGGAUAGGGGUUCUGAGAGGAAGGUCCCCCACAUUGGAACUGAGACACGGUCCAA
This 345-nucleotide ribosomal RNA is filed under the name uncultured bacterium. RNAcentral's name for it is "bacterial SSU rRNA". It matches the Rfam family "Bacterial small subunit ribosomal RNA", at positions 1 to 334 of the family's 1533-position model. The record is from RNAcentral.